RNAcentral lists this ribosomal RNA (163 nucleotides) under Enterobacter cloacae. RNAcentral describes it as "partial 16S ribosomal RNA". It matches the Rfam family "Bacterial small subunit ribosomal RNA", at positions 1381 to 1533 of the family's 1533-position model. The record is from RNAcentral. RNAcentral also lists the same sequence under 2 other names. Lineage: Bacteria; Pseudomonadati; Pseudomonadota; Gammaproteobacteria; Enterobacterales; Enterobacteriaceae.
UUGUACACACCGCCCGUCACACCAUGGGAGUGGGUUGCAAAAGAAGUAGGUAGCUUAACCUUCGGGAGGGCGCUUACCACUUUGUGAUUCAUGACUGGGGUGAAGUCGUAACAAGGUAACCGUAGGGGAACCUGCGGUUGGAUCACCUCCUUACCUUAAAGAA